Molecule: non-coding RNA, 830 nt
Organism: Cricetulus griseus (Chinese hamster)
Lineage: Eukaryota; Metazoa; Chordata; Mammalia; Rodentia; Cricetidae
Source: RefSeq, a predicted model, not a curated record
UCUCCUGGCCUCAGAUGCUCCUCCAGUGGUCAAGAUGACAGGCUGCUCUUCUGAGGCAAACUCCCUCCUAAAGACCUGAGUUCUGACUCUUUAGACUCCAUCCAUCCAUUCCUUCAUUCACAAACAGCUGAAUACAGUGCUUCAGGAGCCUGGAGCGGAUGCUCUAGGGAGCUCCUGGGAGCCCAUGCUGCAGUGCUUCUCCAGCUCACAAGAAACAUGACUUUGAACUAGAAGCCCAGAAGGAAAGAAACAUUCAUUUUCUUGGAGAGUGAAUCAGCCCAGAAAGCUACCCUGGAGGGUGUGGUGGCUGACCUGGGGCUGCUGAGUUACCUCCUUGGAGGCAGAUGAAGGUGGUUGGCAGUUCCAAAUGCACUAUGGACACACACCAUGCUCAACACUGGACAGAGGCCUCGGGAAGCACUGUGGAGAUAAAGCAGAGCCCUGGCUGCAUACACCUCUGCUUGAGCUUCUUCAGGAAGUGGGAGGCUUGGGGAAGUCCUGUAUAUUCAAUGCUAUUUAGACUUCACAAUUUCAGUAGCCAUUUCCAGGCAGUAGAGACCUCCAAUCCAACCCUCAUGGCUUGGGGCUGGGGUGUGUCCGGAAUUUGGUGGUAUGGGUGCCAAGUAGAAUGCUGGAAUUGUCCUACCCUACCCACUCACUCACUCUGAUGAUGGCAAUAAUUGACUAUGCUUUCAGAUAAUCAACUGAGCUUUAAGAUAACUUUGAGCAGUUCCAUUGAGAUCUUUAUAAAUGGCCCUUACUUGGGAUACAUUUGAAUUUCAAGGGCUAGUAGGAAUUUACUUGAAAUAAAAUUAUUCUUUAAAAAGUCA